AUACAAUGUGAGCCUAAACAUAGCUACCGACCCGACUCGAUCCGAUCCAACGAAUAGUCAUUAUUGUAAAAGCCUAUAUAAUUCCUCAGCCAGCAAACUUGCAAGCUCUAACACAAACACGCACAAGAAUCAAUCAGGGGGGAAAACAAAUCAAGAUUUCUUCUAUUCUUCACUUGUAUUGCACACCCAUAACCAUGUCUCAGACUGUUGUGCUUAAGGUUGGUAUGUCAUGUGAAGGUUGUGUUGGGGCUGUGAAGAGGGUUUUGGGAAAAAUGGAAGGUGUGGAAUCUUAUGACAUUGAUUUGAAGGAGCAAAAGGUUACAGUGAAAGGAAACGUGCAGCCAGA
This 346-nucleotide unclassified non-coding RNA is filed under the name Hevea brasiliensis (rubber tree). The record is from RNAcentral. Lineage: Eukaryota; Viridiplantae; Streptophyta; Magnoliopsida; Malpighiales; Euphorbiaceae.